GCUGUUACUCAGAGACUGUUGAGGCUAGUGAGAAGUCUCUGUGGAGGUUUCUGGAGAGUGUGGCUGCUUGUCCUUAGUGGCUGAUCCUAUCCUGAUUCCUAUUCUGAUUCCUAUCCUGCCUGCUGUCUGGUGUGCUGUAUUUCCUUGAAGAAAAACCCUGUGAUCCUAAACCACCUGUCUACAGGAAUUCCUGUCAUAAUGUGAGCUGCCAAGUGCCAACCCAUUCUGAGAUGCAUCCAAGCAUUUGAGUUGGUUGCUUAAUUCAUUCAUCUGCUCUUUCUCUAUUUUAUGGAUGUAUAUAUUUAGAGAUACCAAUUUUCCAAAGUGUAGUUGUGGCUACAUCCAGUAAUUUUUUGAUGACCAUCACUGCAGUUUCCAAAUCUUUGCCACCACAGAAGAGCAACUUGAUUCAAAUGAAUAUGCUAAGGAUCAGAGAAGCAAAUUAUGGCUAAUUACCUGAAGUCGCACAGCUAGUGAAUAGCAGAGCUGAGAAUUCACCUUGAUCUUUCAACUUCAAGAUUGGGACACUCCUGCUGCUCUAAACCAUGUUUCUUAAAGGAGGUAUGUUUUAUAUCUUUAAUAUUAUAAAAGAAGUUCUAAUGGAUGUCAAAAGAAGUGAUAAAUUAGUUUAAAGGGUGUUGCAGGCUACAGAUUCAGUACUUGGGACUUUCAAAAAAAGAUACAUUGUCAGUAUGGCCAGCUAAUAAUGAAGUUCUGCUCUUCUUCCCUCAGUGCCCAGAUUAGUCCCAAAACAUGGUUCAGUGAAUAUCAGCACAAGUUUUCUCUUCCCAGGGAAUUAACUCUUGGAGGAGAUAGGUUGAAUCCAAAUGUAAGAAAACUUAGGAAGUAAGGGGAAUAUAAAGAAGUUUUGAAAAUAAAACAGCUAGAAAACAGUGGGUAAGUUGAUAG
This 909-nucleotide long non-coding RNA is filed under the name Monodelphis domestica (gray short-tailed opossum). RNAcentral describes it as "lncRNA (ENSMODG00000039117.1)". The record is from RNAcentral. Lineage: Eukaryota; Metazoa; Chordata; Mammalia; Didelphimorphia; Didelphidae.